UUGAUUCAUUUGUAAAUGGACUCAGAAUUCCACGGUUAACAGAGUUUGAAAAUCCUCCGGCGGACGCUCUCCAGCCCUAGGGCCGGCGGCGGCGUGACGCCGCCGGUCCGCCAAAGCAACCAUCAUAAGUCAACAUCGGGUGGGAGUAGAGGCCAGAGGCCCCGUUACUCGGUAAUGAUCCUUCCGCAGGUUCACCUACGGAAA
Molecule: unclassified non-coding RNA, 204 nt
Filed under: uncultured fungus
Lineage: Eukaryota; Fungi
Description: sequence contains ITS1
Source: RNAcentral